GCAGUCGAGCGGACAGAUGGGAGCUUGCUCCCUGAUGUUAGCGGCGGACGGGUGAGUAACACGUGGGUAACCUGCCUGUAAGACUGGGAUAACUCCGGGAAACCGGGGCUAAUACCGGAUGCUUGAUUGAACCGCAUGGUUCAAUUAUAAAAGGUGGCUUUUAGCUACCACUUACAGAUGGACCCGCGGCGCAUUAGCUAGUUGGUGAGGUAACGGCUCACCAAGGCGACGAUGCGUAGCCGACCUGAGAGGGUGAUCGGCCACACUGGGACUGAGACACGGCCCAGACUCCUACGGGAGGCAGCAGUAGGGAAUCUUCCGCAAUGGACGAAAGUCUGACGGAGCAACGCCGCGUGAGUGAUGAAGGUUUUCGGAUCGUAAAACUCUGUUGUUAGGGAAGAACAAGUACCGUUCGAAUAGGGCGGUACCUUGACGGUACCUAACCAGAAAGCCACGGCUAACUACGUGCCAGCAGCCGCGGUAAUACGUAGGUGGCAAGCGUUGUCCGGAAUUAUUGGGCGUAAAGCGCGCGCAGGCGGUUUCUUAAGUCUGAUGUGAAAGCCCCCGGCUCAACCGGGGAGGGUCAUUGGAAACUGGGGAACUUGAGUGCAGAAGAGGAGAGUGGAAUUUCCACGUGUAGCGGUGAAAUGCGUAGAGAUGUGGAGGAACACCAGUGGCGAAGGCGACUCUCUGGUCUGUAACUGACGCUGAGGCGCGAAAGCGUGGGGAGCGAACAGGAUUAGAUACCCUGGUAGUCCACGCCGUAAACGAUGAGUGCUAAGUGUUAGAGGGUUUCCGCCCUUUAGUGCUGCAGCAAACGCAUUAAGCACUCCGCCUGGGGAGUACGGUCGCAAGACUGAAACUCAAAGGAAUUGACGGGGGCCCGCACAAGCGGUGGAGCAUGUGGUUUAAUUCGAAGCAACGCGAAGAACCUUACCAGGUCUUGACAUCCUCUGACAACCCUAGAGAUAGGGCUUCCCCUUCGGGGGCAGAGUGACAGGUGGUGCAUGGUUGUCGUCAGCUCGUGUCGUGAGAUGUUGGGUUAAGUCCCGCAACGAGCGCAACCCUUGAUCUUAGUUGCCAGCAUUCAGU
RNAcentral lists this ribosomal RNA (1092 nucleotides) under Bacillus sp. (in: firmicutes). RNAcentral's name for it is "bacterial SSU rRNA". It matches the Rfam family "Bacterial small subunit ribosomal RNA", at positions 57 to 1129 of the family's 1533-position model. Lineage: Bacteria; Bacillati; Bacillota; Bacilli; Caryophanales; Bacillaceae. The record is from RNAcentral.